This 475-nucleotide ribosomal RNA is filed under the name uncultured bacterium. Its description in RNAcentral is "bacterial SSU rRNA". It matches the Rfam family "Bacterial small subunit ribosomal RNA", at positions 328 to 798 of the family's 1533-position model. The record is from RNAcentral.
UCGCCAGACUCCUACGGGAGGCAGCAGUGGGGAAUAUUGCACAAUGGGCGCAAGCCUGAUGCAGCCAUGCCGCGUGUAUGAAGAAGGCCUUCGGGUUGUAAAGUACUUUCAGUCGGGAGGAAGGUGGUAAGGUUAAUAACCUUGUCGAUUGGCGUUACCCGCAGAAGAAGCACCGGCUAACUCCGUGCCAGCAGCCGCGGUAAUACGGAGGGUGCAAGCGUUAAUCGGAAUUACUGGGCGUAAAGCGCACGCAGGCGGUCUGUCAAGUCGGAUGUGAAAUCCCCGGGCGCAACCUGGGAACUGCAUUCGAAACUGGGAGGCUGGAGUCUUGUAGAGGGGGGUAGAAUUCCAGGUGUAGCGGUGAAAUGCGUAGAGAUCUGGAGGAAUACCGGUGGCGAAGGCGGCCCCCUGGACAAAGACUGACGCUCAGGUGCGAAAGCGUGGGGAGCAAACAGGAUUAGAUACCCGAGUACAA